GAUGAACGCUGGCGGCGUGCCUAAUACAUGCAAGUCGAGCGAACUGAUUAGAAGCUUGCUUCUAUGACGUUAGCGGCGGACGGGUGAGUAACACGUGGGCAACCUGCCUGUAAGACUGGGAUAACUUCGGGAAACCGAAGCUAAUACCGGAUAGAAUCUUCUCCUUCAUGGGAGAUGAUUGAAAGAUGGUUUCGGCUAUCACUUACAGAUGGGCCCGCGGUGCAUUAGCUAGUUGGUGAGGUAACGGCUCACCAAGGCAACGAUGCAUAGCCGACCUGAGAGGGUGAUCGGCCACACUGGGACUGAGACACGGCCCAGACUCCUACGGGAGGCAGCAGUAGGGAAUCUUCCGCAAUGGACGAAAGUCUGACGGAGCAACGCCGCGUGAGUGAUGAAGGCUUUCGGGUCGUAAAACUCUGUUGUUAGGGAAGAACAAGUACGAGAGUAACUGCUCGUACCUUGACGGUACCUAACCAGAAAGCCACGGCUAACUACGUGCCAGCCGCCGCAGUAA
RNAcentral lists this ribosomal RNA (514 nucleotides) under uncultured bacterium. Its description in RNAcentral is "partial 16S ribosomal RNA". It matches the Rfam family "Bacterial small subunit ribosomal RNA", at positions 28 to 523 of the family's 1533-position model. The record is from RNAcentral.